CUCCAUGAAUUGCUAAGUGUAAGUGUGGAAACCUCCUCCAUACCCCACUUAUCCUUCAUACUCAUACUUGACUCUUUCAACAGGAAUCUGUCCCCCUGACCCUAAGUCACUAAUCAUCUUGGAGCCAGCCCCAGUAACUGGUAAAGAAUUAGAAUUAGAAUGACAAGGGUUUCCUAUGUCAGUGUGUCUGCCUCCCUCCAUGGAAGAUGCUUCCCAGAUUGCCUCUAGCUCAGCCUCAGCAGGGCUUGGUAACCUUCAACCAGAGGACUCAGUGGUGUCUUCAGCAAAGAUUCCACCAAUGAAGUCUCUUCUAGGAAAGGAAGGCCUCUCUGGAACCAAUCUCUUCAGAAGUCAGGAAAGGAAGACCAGCCACUCACCCAGCAAGUAGAAGCAGGAUCCCAAGAUGAACUUCUCCAAAGGAGAAGUCACAAGGUGAAGUCCAAAAGGCAAAGUCCUCCAAAGAAGCAGUCCAAAGGAGAAGCCUCAAAGAACUCUUUUGGACCGAAGUUCAGGCCUUUUUUUCUUUUUUUUUUUUUACAAAUGUAUUUAAUUAGUCAAUUUAGAAUUUUUUCCUUGUUUACAAAAGUCAUGUUCUUUCCCUUCCCCCCUUCCCAUAGCCGACUCACAAUUCCACUGGGUUUUACAUGUGUUCCGGACUUUUUAUAGUCCUUUUCCCAUAUCAUUUCCUGUCCCUUCCCCACUUUACAGGGAACCAAACACAGUCUUUCAAUUUGCCUGGCACUACUGAAGGGGGUUGGCAGUGGCCUCUGGAGUUGUCACCCACUCUGGUAAGUGACUCUUGAAUUCUCUUAUUUAGUAUUAAGUAGGUUCUUGAUUAAUUUAAAAGUUGCUGAUUGAUAGACAAAGUUUGAUUGACUCUUCACAGGAGGCCAAAUUUGAACCCAGGACCUCCUGUCUCUAGGUCUGGCUCUCAAUACACUGAGCUGCCCCCUUCUCCAGCUCAUUUUACAGGUAAGAAAACUGAGGCAAACAGGGUUAAAUGAGUUGCUAGGGUCACAGAGGUAGUAUCUAAGAUCAAAUUUGAAUUGGUCUUCCUGACUCCAGGCCCAGAGCUCUAUCUGUGCCAUCUAACUUUCAAUAUUUAUCAGCUUUUUUUUUUCCUUUUAACUCUAACUUUUGGCCUUGCUAUCAACUUUUGAACACAAUGGGCAAAUGGGAGUUAAGUGACUUGUCCAGGGUCACAUAGCUAGGAAGUGUCUGAGUUAAUAUUUGAACUCAGGUCCUCUUAAUUCCAGGCCUGGUGUUCUAUCCAUUAUACCAUCUAGAUGCGCCCAUAGUAGGUUCUUAAUGUUUGCUGAAUGAUUGACUGAUGGGCCUUUAGGAGAUCAGGUAGACUCAGAGGUUUGGAUUGAAGCAUCUUGAAAAUCAGUCUAAAACACUAAUGUAGGUCUAGCUUUGAAUAGAUUCAAACAUUGAAGAAAAUAAUUUAGAAUUAUACUAGAAAUGUCACUAAUAUCCUUUGAUCCAGCAAUACUGAUACAAGGCAUAUAGUUGAAGUCAAAAGGAGGGGAAAAGUCCCCAUAUACACAAAAAUAUUUGUAGCUGUACUUUUUGUGGUAGCAAAUAACAAACUUUAGAGGAAACUGAGUUCUCAUUAGCUAGGGUAUGGUUAAACAAAGUAGUAUAGUAAUGUAACACAGUAGUAUAGAGGGGGCAGCUAGGUGGCUCAGUAGAUUGAGAACCAGACCUCCUGACCCUGGACAAGUCAUUUAACCUCAUUGCCUAGCCCUUACCACUCUUCUGUCUUGGAAUCAAGGCACAGUAUUAAGUGUUAUUAGUAUUAAGUAUUAGUAUUAUUAGUAUUAAGUAUUAAGUAUUAAGGAAGAUAAAGGUCUGAAAAAAAAUAGUAUAAAGGUAAGUUAGUCCUUCAUCAAAUUCAACUGGAUUAUGAAUACAUGAAAAAACAUUUAUUAGACACUUACUAAAGCACUUCUAGUGGCCAAGCACUUUGCUAAGCAUUGCUGAUAUAAAUAUCAAACAAAACAAAAAACAAACCCAAAACUGUCCUUGCCCUCAAGGAAAUUACAUUUUAAUAGGGGAGAUAGGGGAAAGAGACCCUUUGGUCCAUUGAUUUGAAAUUUAAAAGAAUGGUAAAUAGGACCAUAGAUGAGUAGGUUAACAUACCCCAUCCAGGAACAAAGGCAGAGUUGAUUUGAUUAUGGUUCAUUAUUCCAGAACUGGAAGGGACAGAGAGCAAAAGAGGAUUCCACAAGAUAGCUGGGGGAGGGGGAGGCAGGGCAGAAGUUCCUGGUGUCUGGCUCUGUAUUUAGAAAGGAGGCUGUAAUAACCUAAUGGGUGUCCAUGUCUCUCCCCUCUACAAUAUAUUCACCAUGAGUCUUCCAGGUCUCAUUUUUAAAAGCAACAAUUUUGGUCAUGUCUCCCCUGCUCAAGAAAAUCCAGUGACUCCCUCUCUCCAUAGGAUAAAAUAUACUCUUGUUUGACUUUUAUAGCUUUUAACAAUUUGGCACUUUCCAGGCUUAUUGUAUAUUCUUCUUCUUUAUGAACUCUAUAUUCCAUCCAAGUUGAGCUUGCUGCUUGUUGUUUCCUAUACCUAUGUUCUAAAUCCCAUUGUGUCUUUGCAUAAGCUGUCCCCUUUCUAAGAAUACACUCUCAUCUCACCUCCAUCUCUUAGAAUCCUUCAAAGCUUAGUUCAAUUGUCAUUUCCUACAGGAAGCCUUUCCUAUUCCUCCCUAGUUGCUAGUACCCUCUGCUUCCUAAAAAUUACUUUCUAUAUAUUUUUAAUUUCUAUGGACUUAUUUUCCCCUGUAGGUUAGUUCCUGGAGUAAAUAGUAUUUCAGUUUCUUUGCUCCCCACGACCUAACAUAAUGCCUGGCACAUAGUAGGUGCUUAAUAAAUGUGUGUUGACCAGAAUUGGAAGGGAGCA
This 2905-nucleotide long non-coding RNA is filed under the name Monodelphis domestica (gray short-tailed opossum). Its description in RNAcentral is "lncRNA (ENSMODG00000046985.1)". The record is from RNAcentral. Lineage: Eukaryota; Metazoa; Chordata; Mammalia; Didelphimorphia; Didelphidae.